Molecule: transfer RNA, 66 nt
Filed under: Allacta bimaculata
Lineage: Eukaryota; Metazoa; Arthropoda; Insecta; Blattodea; Pseudophyllodromiidae
Description: tRNA-Arg
Source: RNAcentral
AAAUAUGAAGCAAUACUAUUGCAAUUAGUUUCGACCUAAUAAUUAGAUAAAAUUUAUCCUUAUUUU